RNAcentral lists this transfer RNA (83 nucleotides) under Schistocephalus solidus. It matches the Rfam family "tRNA". From Rfam's summary of the family: Transfer RNA (tRNA) molecules are approximately 80 nucleotides in length. Their secondary structure includes four short double-helical elements and three loops (D, anti-codon, and T loops). Further hydrogen bonds mediate the characteristic L-shaped molecular structure. tRNAs have two regions of fundamental functional importance: the anti-codon, which is responsible for specific mRNA codon recognition, and the 3' end, to which the tRNAs corresponding amino acid is attached (by aminoacyl-tRNA synthetases). tRNAs cope with the degeneracy of the genetic code in two manners: having more than one tRNA (with a specific anti-codon) for a particular amino acid; and 'wobble' base-pairing, i.e. permitting non-standard base-pairing at the 3rd anti-codon position. The record is from Rfam by way of RNAcentral. Lineage: Eukaryota; Metazoa; Platyhelminthes; Cestoda; Diphyllobothriidea; Diphyllobothriidae.
GGCCUUGUAGCUCAGUUGGCUAGAGCGUUGGUUGUACUUAAGUGGUUCCCUUGCCAGCAUGGGUUUGAAUCCAUUUGAGGCCA